RNAcentral lists this ribosomal RNA (458 nucleotides) under Alpioniscus absoloni politus. RNAcentral's name for it is "partial 16S ribosomal RNA". It matches the Rfam family "Bacterial large subunit ribosomal RNA", at positions 1929 to 2621 of the family's 2925-position model. Lineage: Eukaryota; Metazoa; Arthropoda; Malacostraca; Isopoda; Trichoniscidae. The record is from RNAcentral.
GGCCGCAGUAACUGACUGUGCUAAGGUAGCAAAAUCAUUAGCCUUUUAAUUGAAGGCCAGUAUAAAAGAUUUGACAUAGAGCUUUCUGUCUCAAGACUAAUAAAUAUAAUUUUAUAUUAGGGUAAAAAAGCCUUAAAAUACUAAAAGGACGAUAAGACCCUAAAAUCUGCUUUAAUCAAUAAUUUGUGUUUAAGAUAAGACAUUAUUUGACAUUAGCAUACUGGGGCGGUAAUUAUUACUUUAAACUAUAAUGUACUUAACACAUUGCGUGAUUUAUUAUAACCUUAAUGAAUAAAAUAAGAUACUUUAGGGAUAACAGCAUAAUAUAUUUUUAUAGUCCUUAUUGACAAAUAUGUUUAUGACCUCGAUGUUGAAUUGAAUAACCUGUACUUAGAAGAAUAAAUGCAAGUAAGUCUGUUCGACUUUUAAUAAUUCACAUGAUUUGAGUUCAACCGGCG